CUCCACGGCUGCCGUAGUGUCAGUCUGAAGCGCUUGGAGCUGAGACUUGAGGCAGCUCUUGUUGGGUGUUCUCAGUAUGCUGUGUUCACUACCUGCCAAAAGUCCUCCAAGGUCUCGGGGUUCAUGGAGGCUCAACUUCAUAAAAGGAAAGGAUAAAGGAUCUGCUGCUGAUGUCUUGGUGCCAGAUACCACAUGAUACAACUAGAGGUCUUAUGGAAUCCACGCCUUGAUGGGUCUGAUGUGUUUCUGCAACACAAAGGGGACCAACACAAUAUUAGGCAUGUGAUUUUAAUGUUUUGGCCGAUCUAACAUGUUGGUCUUGUUGCCCAAUGAGACGCAGACGUGGCGAUGGUGCCGCGGCUGUGCCGUAGACGGGCAGACAGAAAUUGGCUUGUGAUCGACCCUGCCACCCUGGUGGGUCAGGGGCAUGGAACUGGGCCAGAUAACCCUAAUGUCAGGUCUUAGCCCUGUCUCGUGUCUCUGUGUGUCUUCCCCACGUGACCUGUGCUCCCCUGUGUCUCCCGUCUUAGUAGAUUUCCACCUGUGUCAUUUGUAGCUCCGCCCCUUCCCCAGGUGUUUCCAAUUCUAGAGUGUUUCUUGUUUCCUUAUAUAGAUCCCCUGUGCCACUUUGUCUCGGUCGGUCUUUGCACCUUCCCCUGUCGUUUUGUCUUUCUCUCCGUUUAAUAGUCUCUCUCAGUGUUUUCUUGUCUCCUAAGCCUUAGUCCCGUGUUUCUCGUUUAUAUCUUGUUUCAUGUUUCUAGUUUCUUGUUUACUUACGUGUUCCCUAGUUCCUUGUAUAUACCCCUGCUUGAAGUUUAUUAGUUUAUUCCAUUGUAUAUAUUUCCCUUGCCCAGUUUAGUUAAUCCUGUUUUGUUUUAGUUCCUUGUUUGUUAGUAUUUUGGUUUAUUAUCCUUGUUACAUGUUUACUUGUUUCUUUGUCUUUCUUUGUUAUUUAUUUAAUAAAUUUAUGUAUAUCGCCCUUACCUGCACCUGUGUCCGCCUCCUCGUCUCCCUGCCUGGGUCAUUCGUGACACCUAAACACUGCUCUGUGAUUGCGUGUGCUGUGAUGAUCAGUCAGAUGUGCUGAUUGGCCAAGGCUGGCUGGUCUAAUAUAACAACAUUACAUAAUAACGUGUAAUGUGUCUACUAAAACGGCAGGAUGCAUUUCUGACAUAUGAUGCUAGGCUAAUGUUGCUAAUGUUGACUUGGGUUGUCAGUAAUCUCAUCUUUGUAAAGACUCCAUCUCUCAACCGUCUCUCAGAACUCCUCUAGAUCUUCAUUAAAUUGGCAAAUGGAUGUGGCUUAGAACAUUAUAUGACUUACUUUAGUCUAUAAAAACAAACUUCUUCACAGAGCUGAACGCUGGUGGAAACCACUUUCAUCUCAGCACAGUGUGUGGCAUCACUCCACAUAUUGCGUUCCAGUCUGAAGUUGGAGUAGUGGAGCAGCACUACUAGUGAGAGGUUAUGAGGAUGAUAAUAUAGUUAAACUAAUUAGAUCAGAUAAAAUGUUUAAAUAAGCUCUAUACGCAUGGCUUCACAUGUUCACGCAUCUUAACAAUACAUUUCUAAAAGGAAUAUUGGAUGUUUUUGGCCUUUUGUUUUCAGAGAUGUCCAGUGAUGGUUAGCAUUGUUAGCCUAGCAUCUCCCAUCAGAUGCUAAAUAUGCCUUGGCUAAUCGUCUGCAUCUGGGAUCUUUGGUCAAUUAUGCUUCUCUGAUUAUUUGCUAGACUAUUCCUUUAAUAUUAGAGCUUAAUCAAACAUGUGUCCACUCACACUGCACUGACUUGUGGGAUAUGCUUGUGGGGCCGCUUGUCUGCACAGACAGUUCUAGCCAGGCACCACUGAUCACAAUCAUUACCACCCACUGCUCAGUCCACUGUGGGUAGUAAUACCCCUAAGAUGUAUUCCUAAAAAUAACUUUGUCGUCUGUAGGUUUCACUUGAACUCCAAUUAUUUACCUCUACUAGCUAUCAGACAGCCUUACGCACCAGCUAAUACUUCACAACUUAUACAGUUGUGGGCAUUCCAAAGCUGUGUCAUAAGGUAACAUGCCAGAAUCAGUUUACAUACUAUAAGCAUAUCUGACUAAUUAAAUAACAUAAAAAAUGCAUAUUUGUAAUCAUAUCAAUGCCCAUCUUUAGUCAAUACCAGGCGAGAACAGAAGCUUAAACUUGCUUAUUUGGUUUCUAACCCUCCUUAGACAACACUUAAAAUAAAAAGUAAUCCCAGAUUUAGUUAGUGGACAAAAGUAUUGGGACACCCUCUUGUUCACUUUCUUCUGAAAUAAAACGCAUUUAAAAAGAGUUUUUCCUGCUUUUGCAAGUAUAAUUGUUCCUCCUCAGCUGGAAAGGAUUUCUACUAGAGUUUGGAACAUUAUUUUGAGAAUUUAAUUAUAUUCAACCACAUGAAAGAUAGUAAGGUCAGGAUGUUGGAUGAUCACCACCCAGCCUCAUCCCUAAUUCCUCAACUCCCAGUUCAAUGCAAAGUAUUGUAUUUAAGCACAAUCGUUCCAGAGAACACAUUUCCACUGCUCCACAGCUCAGUGCAGGGGGGUUAUAAUACCCUCUGUAGACCACCUGGAAUUAGGCAUGGUGCCAAUAGGUAUGGGGCUUAUCUAGACAAUCUCUGUGUGCAUUUGCAUGUCUGUGUCAGCAAUGAAUCCAAAUUAAAGUAGUUGAAUGCAUUCAUUAGAACCAUUUGAGCAUAUAGUAGCUAAAAAAUAUAUAAUUAUAGCAGCUGAGUUAAAACUUAGCUUGUGUUUCUGUCAAUUUUGGAUAGAAUCUGGUUAAAAACUUUAAAAUUCUUUCUUCAAACAUUGAUGUAACCCAGCUUUUCAUUCCAUAUGUGUCUUGUGUUCCACAUUGGGCCUGACCGUCUGUGACUAAUGGGACAGCAGACACAAACACGUGACCCAAGACUUUGACAGCUGCAGCAGCAAAGCCAAGGGACCCAUUCAUACUGAACCAGGAGUGGGUGGAGUAAUCACUAUGCCUGCUAACAGACACUCCUGGAGUAAAGAAGCUAAACAUGUGACACUGAGUAACAGGAUGGGUAAUCCCAGCUAACAAUUUUCGGUUUGUAGAAUGUUUUACAUUCUUAGUCAAGUUUUCUGAGUGUUCUUAGAGCGUUUUUAAUUAACAAUUUUAAAUGUUCCUGUAACAACACUACCUGUAACAAUGUUUUAAUGUUUAGUUUUGGGCAUGUUAUUUUUAAUGUUUCCAUAAUUAGGUAAGAAGCAUUCUAAAAACAUUGAGAUCCAAAUCAUUAUUAUGUCACAUUUUCAGAACAUUACUGAAACAUUAUUUCUAGAAUGUUACAGGCUAACCUUCCUGGAACCUUUUCAAAAUGUUGAUAAACAUAUGCAUCUUAUAACAUUUUCUGUUAGCUAGGAUUUUGGAAAUUUACUAAUUGAUAUCUCAUAUAAACAACACUGAUACUAAUUGACCACAGACAUCCUUAUUUCAUAUAUAUUUUAUUUGUUCAAAUCUGUAAUCCUUAUAUUUCUUACAUUCUACUCUAGGUUUUUAUCUUUAUUGUUGUAUGUGAGCAAUUUCUCUAUUUGUACUGUGUACAACAAUGUAUGCAACAAAUAAACUUUUACAUUUUCAAAUAUA
Astyanax mexicanus (Mexican tetra) is the source of this 3615-nucleotide long non-coding RNA. RefSeq lists it as uncharacterized. Lineage: Eukaryota; Metazoa; Chordata; Actinopteri; Characiformes; Acestrorhamphidae. The record is from RefSeq and is a predicted model, not a curated record. The transcript is spliced from 3 exons.